RNAcentral lists this long non-coding RNA (991 nucleotides) under Oryctolagus cuniculus (rabbit). RNAcentral describes it as "lncRNA (ENSOCUG00000032200.1)". Lineage: Eukaryota; Metazoa; Chordata; Mammalia; Lagomorpha; Leporidae. The record is from RNAcentral.
GUUUUUUCUGAAGAGUUUUAACCUACUUCAAGCCAAUGUCUUUCACAGGAAGCAUGCGUGUACAUGUAUUUGUGGUAUGAGAUGUGGGUACAAGCAGGACUUUUAGAAGAGAGGAGGGGAGGGAAGGGACCUAAAACUUUGGAUGUUGACUGCAUGCUAAUGGACAUAAUUAGUUAAUUAUUGCCUGUAAAAUUCUGCUCAAGAAUGCUUUAAAGCACAGAUCUUUUUCUAGAGUUACCAUGUGACCUGAACUCUCUGUUGUACCUGAUAAAACAGAAUGGGUCUACCAGUAGUUUUAGAAUUCAAAAACCAAGGGGAUUCUUCUUUAAUGUAUUACAUUUCUUAAAAGUCACUCUUUGUAUCCAAAAAUGACCACUGCUUGUUGUGAAGAAAUUGUCUUUUCUAUCAUUUUUCUUUUGUGCAGUUCAGUUGUUUUCCCUCUACCAAAUAUGUUGAAAAUCAAAAGGCAGACCUUCAACCCACUGUGAGAGAAGAGUUGCCAGUUCAAACUUGGUCUGGAACUAAUGGUGGCACAAGAGAAAUCAACUGAGAAAAAUCCCCAUGUGCAGACCACGUCUUUGCUGCCUGGGAUGGUGGAAUCAGAUUUCUGUAAGACUUUGGGGGAGCAAUGUGACACAGUGACUAUAUCUUGUCAGAAGACUAAACCAGAAACUGUUCUGUAGAACAUUGUUUUAGUGCAGAAGCAUCCGAGACAAAAAACCAGGUAAGAAUGUAGUCUAGGCCGGCGCCACGGCUCACUAGACUAAUCCUCCGCCUUGUGGCGCCGGCACACCGGGUUCUAGUCCCAGUCGGGGCGCCGGAUUCUGUCCCAGUUGCCCCUCUUCCAGGCCAGCUCUUUGCUGUGGCCAGGGAGUGCAGUGGAGGAUGGCCCAAGUGCUUGGGCCCUGCACCCCAUGGGAGACCAGGAGAAGCACCUGGCUCCUGCCAUCGGAUCAGCGCGGUGUGCUGGCCGCAGCGCGCCAGCCGUGGU